This 454-nucleotide ribosomal RNA is filed under the name uncultured bacterium. RNAcentral describes it as "bacterial SSU rRNA". It matches the Rfam family "Bacterial small subunit ribosomal RNA", at positions 340 to 786 of the family's 1533-position model. The record is from RNAcentral.
UACGGGAGGCAGCAGUGGGGAAUAUUGCACAAUGGGCGCAAGCCUGAUGCAGCCAUGCCGCGUGUAUGAAGAAGGCCUUCGGGUUGUAAAGUACUUUCAGUCGUGAGGAAGGUGUUAAGGUUAAUAACCUUAGCAAUUGACGUUAGCGACAGAAGAAGCACCGGCUAACUCCGUGCCAGCAGCCGCGGUAAUACGGAGGGUGCGAGCGUUAAUCGGAAUUACUGGGCGUAAAGGGCACGCAGGCGGUUAAUUAAGUUGGAUGUGAAAUCCCCGGGCUUAACCUGGGAAUGGCAUUCAAGACUGGUUAGCUAGAGUCUUGUAGAGGGGGUAGAAUUCCAUGUGUAGCGGUGAAAUGCGUAGAGAUGUGGAGGAAUACCGGUGGCGAAGGCGGCCCCUGGACAAAGACUGACGCUCAUGUGCGAAAGCGUGGGGAGCAAACAGGGAUUAAGAUACC